This 1448-nucleotide ribosomal RNA is filed under the name uncultured Ralstonia sp. RNAcentral's name for it is "bacterial SSU rRNA". It matches the Rfam family "Bacterial small subunit ribosomal RNA". The record is from RNAcentral. Lineage: Bacteria; Pseudomonadati; Pseudomonadota; Betaproteobacteria; Burkholderiales; Burkholderiaceae.
UGAUCAUGGCUCAGAUUGAACGCUGGCGGCAUGCCUUACACAUGCAAGUCGAGCGGCAGCAUGAUCUAGCUUGCUAGAUUGAUGGCGAGUGGCGAACGGGUGAGUAAUACAUCGGAACGUGCCCUGUAGUGGGGGAUAACUAGUCGAAAGAUUAGCUAAUACCGCAUACGGCCUGAGGGUGAAAGUGGGGGACCGCAAGGCCUCAUGCUAUAGGAGCGGCCGAUGUCUGAUUAGCUAGUUGGUGAGGUAAAGGCUCACCAAGGCGACGAUCAGUAGCUGGUCUGAGAGGACGAUCAGCCACACUGGGACUGAGACACGGCCCAGACUCCUACGGGAGGCAGCAGUGGGGAAUUUUGGACAAUGGGGGCAACCCUGAUCCAGCAAUGCCGCGUGUGUGAAGAAGGCCUUCGGGUUGUAAAGCACUUUUGUCCGGAAAGAAAUCGCACUUACUAAUAUUAGGUGUGGAUGACGGUACCGGAAGAAUAAGGACCGGCUAACUACGUGCCAGCAGCCGCGGUAAUACGUAGGGUCCAAGCGUUAAUCGGAAUUACUGGGCGUAAAGCGUGCGCAGGCGGUUGUGCAAGACCGAUGUGAAAUCCCCGGGCUUAACCUGGGAAUUGCAUUGGUGACUGCACGGCUAGAGUGUGUCAGAGGGGGGUAGAAUUCCACGUGUAGCAGUGAAAUGCGUAGAGAUGUGGAGGAAUACCGAUGNNNANGCAGCCCCCUGGGAUAACACUGACGCUCAUGCACGAAAGCGUGGGAGCAAACAGGAUUAGAUACCCUGGUAGUCCACGCCCUAAACGAUGUCAACUAGUUGUUGGGGAUUCAUUUCCUUAGUAACGUAGCUAACGCGUGAAGUUGACCGCCUGGGGAGUACGGUCGCAAGAUUAAAACUCAAAGGAAUUGACGGGGACCCGCACAAGCGGUGGAUGAUGUGGAUUAAUUCGAUGCAACGCGAAAAACCUUACCUACCCUUGACAUGCCACUAACGAAGCAGAGAUGCAUUAGGUGCUCGAAAGAGAAAGUGGACACGGGUGCUGCAUGGCUGUCGUCAGCUCGUGUCGUGAGAUGUUGGGUUAAGUCCCGCAACGAGCGCAACCCUUGUCUCUAGUUGCUACGAAAGGGCACUCUAGAGAGACUGCCGGUGACAAACCGGAGGAAGGUGGGGAUGACGUCAAGUCCUCAUGGCCCUUAUGGGUAGGGCUUCACACGUCAUACAAUGGUGCAUACAGAGGGUUGCCAAGCCGCGAGGUGGAGCUAAUCCCAGAAAAUGCAUCGUAGUCCGGAUCGUAGUCUGCAACUCGACUACGUGAAGCUGGAAUCGCUAGUAAUCGCGGAUCAGCAUGCCGCGGUGAAUACGUUCCCGGGUCUCGUACACACCGCCCGUCACACCAUGGGAGUGGGUUUUGCCAGAAGUAGUUAGCCUAACCGCAAGGGGGGCGAUUACC